AGGACGAACGCUGGCGGCGUGCUUAACACAUGCAAGUCGAACGGAGUCGAUCUGGUGGCAACACCGGUGAAAACUCAGUGGCGAACGGGUGCGGAACACGUGAGCAACCUGCCCCAAAGACCGGGAUAACACCGGGAAACUGGUGCUAAUACCGGAUACCCCCACGAGCUCGCAUGGGCUUGUGAGGAAAGGGUUUCCGCUUUGGGAGGGGCUCGCGGCCUAUCAGCUUGUUGGUGAGGUAACGGCUCACCCAAGGCGACGACGGGUAGCUGGUCUGAGAGGACGAUCAGCCACACUGGGACUGAGACACGGCCCAGACUCCUACGGGAGGCAGCAGUGGGGAAUCUUGCGCAAUGGGCCGAAAGCCUGACGCAGCAACGCCGCGUGGGGGAUGAAGGCCUUCGGGUUGUAAACCCCUUUCAGUGGGAACGAAAUUGACGGUACCCACAGAAGAAGCCCCGGCCAACUACGUGCCAGCAGCCGC
Molecule: ribosomal RNA, 484 nt
Filed under: uncultured bacterium
Lineage: Bacteria
Description: bacterial SSU rRNA
Rfam family: Bacterial small subunit ribosomal RNA
Source: RNAcentral